Cygnus olor (mute swan) is the source of this 445-nucleotide long non-coding RNA. RefSeq lists it as uncharacterized. The record is from RefSeq and is a predicted model, not a curated record. Lineage: Eukaryota; Metazoa; Chordata; Aves; Anseriformes; Anatidae. The transcript is spliced from 3 exons.
UGCGAGAGUUGAACUGCCUCGACUUCAAGGACUGGAGUAUGUGACAGCUUCAUCUGCUGAAUCAUGUCCGUCUUGCCCCAGUUCUGCAGAGGAGAGGCCUGCAAAUCCACAUUUUUUUUUGUUUUUCUGCCCAUCACAUUUUCUUCUUCACCUUCCCUCCCUCCAGAAGCUGUGCAGACCCGGGAAGGGUGCUUGCCCCAGCCUCGUAGCAUCAGCAUCCAUUGCCUGGUGGCACUGAUUCCCCUGCACCGGCUCUUCUGGGGAGAAGCAGGGAGCGUAAAGGGAUGUUGGCAACCCUCCCACGACUCCUAAAACACUUGGCCACGCUUGGAGGUAUUGCUUAUACUACACUAAAGAAUAUAUGGAAAAAAAGAAAAAGAAGAAAAAGAAAAGAAAAAGAAAAAGAAAAAGGAAAGAAAAAGAAAAAGAAAAAAGAAAAAGAAAA